This 461-nucleotide ribosomal RNA is filed under the name uncultured beta proteobacterium. Its description in RNAcentral is "bacterial SSU rRNA". It matches the Rfam family "Bacterial small subunit ribosomal RNA", at positions 190 to 642 of the family's 1533-position model. Lineage: Bacteria; Pseudomonadati; Pseudomonadota; Betaproteobacteria. The record is from RNAcentral.
AGGAAAGUAGGGGAUCGCAAGACCUUGCGCUUUUGGAGCGGCCGAUGUCUGAUUAGCUAGUUGGUGAGGUAAAGGCUUACCAAGGCUUCGAUCAGUAGCUGGUCUGAGAGGACGACCAGCCACACUGGGACUGAGACACGGCCCAGACUCCUACGGGAGGCAGCAGUGGGGAAUUUUGGACAAUGGGGGAAACCCUGAUCCAGCCAUGCCGCGUGAGUGAAGAAGGCCUUCGGGUUGUAAAGCUCUUUCAGCCGGAACGAAAAGGUUACGGUUAAUACCCGUGACUAAUGACGGUACCGGAAGAAGAAGCACCGGCUAACUACGUGCCAGCAGCCGCGGUAAUACGUAGGGUGCGAGCGUUAAUCGGAAUUACUGGGCGUAAAGCGUGCGCAGGCGGUUUUGUAAGUCAGAUGUGAAAUCCCCGGGCUCAACCUGGGAACUGCGUUUGAAACUACAAAGCU